GCGAUGGAGACGGGGCAGUUUGAGAGGACAUUGAUUGUUGCAGAUGAAGGAAGCUUCGUAGAGUAUUUAGAGGGGUGUACUGCACCUUCUUAUGAUACGAACCAAUUGCAUGCUGCAGUGGUGGAGUUGUAUUGCCACGAGGGUGCCGAGAUCAAGUAUUCCACUGUUCAGAAUUGGUAUGCAGGUGAUGAGAAUGGGAAAGGUGGUAUCUAUAAUUUUGUUACAAAGAGGGGGCUUUGUGCUGGGCCUAGAUCUAAGAUAUCAUGGACACAAGUGGAGACUGGGUCAGCCAUCACUUGGAAAUACCCAAGUGUUAUUUUAGAGGGUGAUGAAUCCGUUGGUGAGUUUUAUUCUGUGGCAUUGACCAAUAAUUAUCAGCAGGCUGACACGGGAACGAAGAUGAUACACAAGGGGAAGAAUACUAGAAGUAGG
RNAcentral lists this long non-coding RNA (432 nucleotides) under Olea europaea (common olive). RNAcentral describes it as "long non-coding RNA (OEUR_LNC012189)". The record is from RNAcentral. Lineage: Eukaryota; Viridiplantae; Streptophyta; Magnoliopsida; Lamiales; Oleaceae.